AUAAUAUCCGUCAGCUUACUAUUUAAUAUUGCUGUUGUCAUAAUGUAAGCUUAAUAUCCAGUAUAGUACAGUAAAUUGUGUCCUGUUGUAUAAUUUGAUUCAAUUGAACCUUAUUAUGAAUGUUAGGCUAAUUAAGAUUGAAGGCAACAGAUAGUAUCAAUAUAAACCAACUUGUAUGAGACAACCAGGAUGUCCGAACAACACCAGCAGUUACAACUUUUAUCAGAUAAUGAGGAAACAGAGGAUAUCGAUAAGGAUAAUGGAGAAUUGGAAUUUGAAUAUUGUAGCCACAAGAAAGAGAGGAAAAAGAAAAAAGCAAAAGGAGGAACUACCGAAGCCACAGAUGCAAAAAUUCCGUCGAAUUUAAACAAGUUUCAGGCCAUGUCAUGUCCUAAUUUAGCAAUUUGUGGUACAGAUGGGAGUUCUGCUGGUAUCAUUAGAGGCACGCCCCACGGAAACGAAACUCACAAUACGUUCCAGCUAAAGGACAUCACAGUGGACUCAUGUGAAUUUCGAUUGGUCUGUGAGAAAUGCUUUACGUUUACUGGUAUUCCAGGAAUGUAUACAUAUAAUGAAAUAGAUGGACAUUCCUGUCUUUUCAAUAAGCUUGCGGCAAAACAUAAACGGG
This is a long non-coding RNA of Patella vulgata (common limpet), 628 nucleotides long. RefSeq lists it as uncharacterized. Lineage: Eukaryota; Metazoa; Mollusca; Gastropoda; Patellidae. The transcript is spliced from 4 exons. The record is from RefSeq and is a predicted model, not a curated record.